UGAAAUAUUUCAUUCAUGAGUGUCAAUCCAUAGAUUAAACACAAUAAACUAACAAAAUCAUCAUCCAGUUAAUCAUCUGAAUUUGGGCCAACAAACACAAAAAACUAACAGAAUCAUCAUCCAGUUGGGCCAACAAGCACAAAAAACUAACAGAAUCAUCAUCCAGUUUAGUCAUCUGAAUUUGGGCCAACAAACACAAUAAACUAACAGAGUUAUCAUCCAGUUAAUCAUCUGAAUUUGGCCAACAAGCAAAAUAAACUAACAAAAUCAUCAUACAAAAUAAACUAACAGAAUCAUCAUACAGUUAAUCAUCUGAAUUUGUCCGACCGGCAGUCUUGCAGGUGAGAUGGUUCGUACCGCUCAAGGUCCGCCAUCUUUUGCUGGCAUUCGCGCUCCAGGUCCUCCAGCCUUGUUUGGUAGCCCUCGUCUCUGAUCCGCCUGAUCCCGGCCAGCUCCUCCCUGCAGGACACCGCAAGAGUAAAAAAAAAAGAAGAGCAUCUCGUCUCGAGCUAACAAGAGGAGAAUAACCGUCGCGUCGUGCCUGUGGAGAUCCAGGUGAGUGCCGAAGUUGGCGAGCGGGACGGUCUGGUAGCACACCGAGCAUCGAUACCCAUGGCUCUGUGCAUGGUUCUCGAGCUCGGAGAACGGGACCUGGUCGUAGCACGAGGGGCACUCGAACGUAUGCUCUCUGGUGUGCCUCUCGUACUUCAUCUGCCUGACAUGCUCGUGGCAGAUCGGACACAGCACCUUGGUGAAACCGCCGAUCACCCAGAACGCCCUGGCGCUGGUCCCUGCAGCAAGCCCGACCGAGGCGACCGACUUGCCGUACGCGUAAAUCACGGCGGCCGUCGCCGCAGCGCUCAUGAGCACCAUUGCUGGUCCCGACG
This 887-nucleotide long non-coding RNA is filed under the name Triticum aestivum (bread wheat). Its description in RNAcentral is "long non-coding RNA (TAES_LNC011473)". Lineage: Eukaryota; Viridiplantae; Streptophyta; Magnoliopsida; Poales; Poaceae. The record is from RNAcentral.